This 1473-nucleotide long non-coding RNA is filed under the name Gadus morhua (Atlantic cod). RNAcentral describes it as "lncRNA (ENSGMOG00000028634.1)". Lineage: Eukaryota; Metazoa; Chordata; Actinopteri; Gadiformes; Gadidae. The record is from RNAcentral.
AUGCGCACAGGUGCUGCGGCCGGACGGCUCGCUCCCUGUUCAGCGGGCACGAGCGCGACGUCUAGACAGCUCGUUGUUUUUACAACUGCUAGUUGUGGUACGUCUCCUACGCUCGCUGAGCCUCCUCCCUUUCGUGGGAAGCCCCCCUUGGUUCACACGCAGUGUGAAGGCGGUAGGGGCAGAGGAAUACGGGUUAUUCCUGGACGGUCUUCCUCAGCUGUCGGCUCGCCCUCUCUCCAACCGUUAUGCGUGUUGGCAAGAGCGUUGCAUUCUGCCAUCGUGGUUGGACACCACGUUGAGAUGGGGCCAUCCCAUACAGUUCAAGCGUCGUCCCCCACCCUUUAUGGGGUUGGUGGAGACCACGCUACGGGACCCGGCUGCGAGCACGGCUCUGGCAGCAGAGGUGGCACGUCACUUGGUAAAGGGGGCCAUCACUGUCGUUCCCCCCCACGAGUCUCACCUAGGUUUUUAGGUUUUUUUUCUGGGUCUGCUUUUUAUGCGCAGACUCCAGCGGUGGUUUGCUUGCCAACGGUUGGACCCCAGGCGACACAAGCUCAGGGUGCUCCUCGUCCCCCGUUCGGUGUCGCCAGACCUGGAAUAUUGGAAAGGACCCUCCGCCCUUCUCAAGGGUGUUCCACUGGGCAGGGUGGCGUCCUACGUAGUGGUCUUCACGGACGCCUCGUUGACGGGUUGGGGAGGAACGUGCCUCUCUCACUCGGUCGGAGACGAGUGGCGCACGCCCCCUACAGCACACUUAAAUGUGUUGGAGCUCGACGCUGUGAGGAAAGUGCUGUUGCAUUUCUUUCACCUGGUGCGCGGCCGCCACGUUCUGAUCAGGACAGACAGUGUGUCGGCGGCGGCGUACAUCAACAGACAGGGGGGAGUCCGCUCCCCUGCUCUCCACCGAAAGGCGGUCGAGCUCUGGCUUUGGGCUCAUCAGUAUCUCUGAGAGCCCUGAGAGUCAGCAGUCUGAGAGCCCUGCAUAUCGCGGGCGCCCAGAACUUUGGGGCGGACCUCAUGUCUCGAGGCGGUCCCCGCCGAGACGAGUGGCGGUUACAUCCCGACAUUGUCAGACUGAUCUGGCAGAGGUUCGGGACAGCACAGGUGGACCUCUUCGCGUCCCGGGAGAACACGCACUGCAUGUGGUGGUUCUCCCUCAGCCCUCGGGAUCUUCCCCCGUUGGGAGUAGAUGCGUUGGCACACACACCUUGGCCGCGGGCUCUCUUGUAUGCGUUUCCCCCGCUCCAGCAGAUCCUUCCUCUUCUGGAACGGGUCAGACAGGAGAGACUGUCCCUGAUAUUAGUGGCCCCGGAGAACCGUUCAGCUCUGUGGUUUCCAGAGCUGGCCGCGCUCUCGCGGUCGGCGCCUUGGCCAGUACCAUUCAGGCCGGAUGCGCUUUCACAGGCCCACGGGACGGUGCACCACCCGCCCGAUGUCUCGGGACGGCUGUUGGUUUGGCUCCUGAGAGGUUGA